GACGGGUGAGUAACGCGUGGGUAACCUGCCUUAUACAGGGGGAUAACAGUCAGAAAUGGCUGCUAAUACCGCAUAAGCGCACAGAGCUGCAUGGCUCAGUGUGAAAAACUCCGGUGGUAUAAGAUGGACCCGCGUUGGAUUAGCUUGUUGGUGGGGUAACGGCCCACCAAGGCGACGAUCCAUAGCCGGCCUGAGAGGGUGAACGGCCACAUUGGGACUGAGACACGGCCCAGACUCCUACGGGAGGCAGCAUG
This 254-nucleotide ribosomal RNA is filed under the name uncultured bacterium. Its description in RNAcentral is "partial 16S ribosomal RNA". It matches the Rfam family "Bacterial small subunit ribosomal RNA", at positions 100 to 353 of the family's 1533-position model. The record is from RNAcentral.